UACGUAGGGGGCAAGCGUUGUCCGGAAUUACUGGGCAUAAAGGGCGAGUAGGCGGUAGAUUAAGUCAGAUGUGAAAGUCCAGGGCUUAACCCUGGAAUUGCAUUUGAAACUGAUUUACUUGAGUGCAGGAGAGGAGAGCGGAAUUCCUAGUGUAGCGGUGAAAUGCGUAGAUAUUAGGAAGAACACCAGUGGCGAAGGCGGCUCUCUGGACUGUAACUGACGCUGAGGCGCGAAAGCGUGGGUAGCGAACAGGAUUAGAUACCCCCGUA
Molecule: ribosomal RNA, 269 nt
Filed under: uncultured prokaryote
Description: partial 16S ribosomal RNA
Rfam family: Bacterial small subunit ribosomal RNA
Source: RNAcentral